This 482-nucleotide ribosomal RNA is filed under the name uncultured bacterium. RNAcentral's name for it is "partial 16S ribosomal RNA". It matches the Rfam family "Bacterial small subunit ribosomal RNA", at positions 29 to 507 of the family's 1533-position model. The record is from RNAcentral.
AUUGAACGCUGGCGGCAUGCCUUACACAUGCAAGUCGAACGGUAACGGGCCUUCGGGUGCCGACGAGUGGCGGACGGGCGAGUAAUACAUCCGAACGUGCCCGACCGUGGGGGAUAACGAGGCGCAAGCUUUGCUAAUCCCGCAUACGAUCUACGGCUGACAUCAGGGGGCCGCAAGGCCUUGCGCGGACGGAGCGGCCGCUGGCAGCGUAGGUAGAUGGUGGGAGUAAAGCUUAGCAGGCCGACGAUCUGUAGCUGGUCCGGGAGGAGGAUGAGCCACACUGGGACUGGGCCACGGCCCAGACUCCUGCGGGAGGGAGCAGUCGGGAAUUUUGGACAAUGGGCGCAAGCCUGAUCCAACCAUGGCGCGUGCAGGAUGAAGGCCUUCGGGUUGUAAACUGCUUUUGUACGGAACGAAAAGCCUUCUUUUAAUACAGGAGGAUCAUGACGGUACCGGAAGAAUAAGCACCGGCUAACUACGUG